Molecule: non-coding RNA, 249 nt
Organism: Vicia faba (fava bean)
Lineage: Eukaryota; Viridiplantae; Streptophyta; Magnoliopsida; Fabales; Fabaceae
Source: the annotation of a GenBank genome assembly
AUGCAGGCAUUGUCUUGCCAUUUUUGUGAAAUUUUUUUAUAUGUUUUUGGACUGUUGUUGCAGGUUUGGGACUGUAUAUGGCAGUUUAACAAUGGACAGUGGGAGGUUUUAUGGACUUCUUUGCCACUUUUUAUUACAGAUUUUGUGUUUUGCCUAAUUUAUGCAACUCUUGGCAUUUUUUCGACAACAUCUGUGGACUGUUUUGACAGGUUUUCCUCUGGUUUUUACAGGCUGUUUUGUAGUGGAUAG